This is a non-coding RNA of Danio rerio (zebrafish), 1893 nucleotides long. The record is from RefSeq and is a predicted model, not a curated record. NCBI's taxonomy places the organism in Eukaryota, Metazoa, Chordata, Actinopteri, Cypriniformes, Danionidae.
UAGGGUUUUCACCUUGCAUGGAGCAAAAUACCAUGUGUAAUUCUCGUAUGUCCAAUACGACAUCUGGUAAAAACUACUUGAUCAAAUCGAUUCUUAAAAUGUCUUAAAAUUCUGUGUGAAACUUCAGGUUGGAUUUGUAUGCAUGGAAAAUAUAUUCUAUGAUAUAAUAAUUACACAUUGAGCCAGCAAUUAUUAUAUAAUUUGAGUCAAAUUCACAACAGUCUCAUUUGAACUUUUAUAAAUAUGCUCAUAUCCAUCAUAAAACUAUAAGAUAAAACGGAAGAAGAAUCUUAGUCUUUGUUAUUCCAAGUCAUGUUAUUAUGAGUGUGUUGAUGUGAACACUGAGCCUGGUCCCCUUUCUCCGCAAGAGUGUCAAAGUCUGGAUUCUGCUACGUCAAAAAAUGCGAGGCGCAGCAGGCGGUUAAAACGUGAGGCGCGCAGGGUGCAUAAGCAGCCCAUCACAUGGCGUUCACUUGUAAUUGCAUCAUUAAAUUACUAAUUCUGAACCAAACCAUUACUCAGAAGCAGCAUUUUAAAACUCCCUCGCGGGCCAGAUGAAAGUGUUCAGCGGGCCGCAUAUGGCCCGCGGGACGUAAUUUGCCCAUCUCUGGGCUAAACACUUUGAGCUAGUUGGUCAGGCAUGUUUUCUGGGCUGCGUAAAACAGAUGCAAGUGUGAGAAUCAGUUCAGCAAAACUGUUCUCUAGCAGUUUAAGUAGAUUUUCAUGGAAAUAAAAGCCAAUGUUAACUUUUUUAUACUCAUUUCUGGGCGGCUCAUAUAGAUUAUCUGGGGCAAAUUUGGGAAAAAGGACAAGUAGCGUUAAAAUGUAUUCCUGUACUGUACUGUCACUGCUGUAAUGGGCGGAGUUUUAAUGUAUGGUAUUGGUUUGAAUCAGCGUGGACAGUGAAAUGUUUUGUACUAUUGAAGGAAUAAAAUUACAGUCUAAUGCUUCUUUUGAAUUAUAUACAUGUGGUCAUGCUUAUUUUGCAUAUGUAUAUGUGUUUGCUUGAACCAUGAUAAUCUAAUGAGCCUACGCAGUGGUAUGCUGAGACAUUCUGUUUGACCUUAAAAUGAGACAGGAACUUUCCACCCCUAUAAUGUCAAAUAACUAAAUCUGUAACAGACAAGUCUUGCAGAAAGUCCCUGUCUGGGUUGCAGCUGUGACGUGUGACUUUUCUACACAGAAAAGAGAACUGGAGCAGAAAAGGAAAAUAUUGCUUUAUUGUCUUACUAAUCACUCUUUUCUUUUGAUAUAUUUUGUUAUUGGAGGAAUAUACUCCCAUUUGCCCCACUAUUCAUUAUUUACAAUAUGUGUUUUUGUCAGAUAUGAUGAUGUCUCCUGAUAUAGCGUACUUCUACUUAACUCCUGUUAUAAUGCGUUUCUAACUAACUGCUAAAACCACAAGAGCUGUGUGUGGGUGCUGGCUGGAGACAGAGCUGCAGAGGGGCUUCCCCUAGAUGGGUGCAUACACGGGUCAAGAGUUCAUAGACAGGACUAGGAGGAAAAGCAGAUGUGGUAGAUGCAGCAUUUGUAUACUGCUCUCUGUUUGCUUGCUGCACCCCAGAUGUCAGUAGUGUCAAGUAUGUCAAGGAGGAGUGAUACUUUCACCUGCCCUUUUGUUUCUGUGUGCAGAGGUAUCUCUGUGUGCUGACCACAGACUUUUGAGAGAUGAUUCUGCCUGAAAACAGCUGAUGGCAACAAUACAGAUUGGGGGUAACUGAUCAGAGGAGUGGCCAAAAAGAUUGAACGCUGCUGAUGGAUAAAAGGAGGGAGUCGAGAGAGUUCGAGAGCUUUUGGACAUCCAGACUGCUUGGCUGACGGUUCUUCAAAAGCCCAGGAUCCUGAUCUUCGCUUUAUUCACUUAUGCUCGAUAAAUAAAUUCAUUGAUUUUGA